UCACUAGUUAAUUCUCAAGUUUUCCUUGUGUUAUUGGAUUGGAUGACAUCAUUCGACAACCCAAAGCAUUCCUUGUUGGAAGUAUGCCCACAAAGCCACUCAUUUGAUGUAAUAGCUUUUUGGAAUACUUAAUGUAUUAAACUUUUAUAUGUUUAAUGAAGGGCAAAGCUUAUUGUUAAUCACUAUUUAUUGUAUCAUGUGUUUAAGCAAUAAGGGAAUCCUAGGGAUGUAUUUGAUCUAAGAGACAUGUGAUCUAAGUGAGUUAGAUUAUCG
Molecule: long non-coding RNA, 273 nt
Filed under: Malus domestica (apple)
Lineage: Eukaryota; Viridiplantae; Streptophyta; Magnoliopsida; Rosales; Rosaceae
Description: long non-coding RNA (MDOM_LNC018403)
Source: RNAcentral